GUUGGAGAUACUGGUCUUAUAAUAAAGAACACUAGUUAAGCAUCAUACUUAUCGGUGGCAUUCAAAUUAAACGUGUGGAAAACGAAAUUUAUAACGAAGUAACUGAGUUUUGAAUAACAAAAUUCCUAAACGUGACAUUUUGUUGGUUUAUUGCACAACAUUUUCAAAACAGUAAUUUAGGGAAAAAAACACAGAAGUGAUAAGACAUAAAAUAACUAAUUUACCGAUCUUGAAAAAAAAUAAUCAAAUCGAAAAGAAUAGUAUAUGAAAUUUUAGGG
RNAcentral lists this long non-coding RNA (278 nucleotides) under Mytilus galloprovincialis (Mediterranean mussel). The record is from RNAcentral. Lineage: Eukaryota; Metazoa; Mollusca; Bivalvia; Mytilida; Mytilidae.